Molecule: ribosomal RNA, 253 nt
Filed under: uncultured bacterium
Lineage: Bacteria
Description: partial 16S ribosomal RNA
Rfam family: Bacterial small subunit ribosomal RNA
Source: RNAcentral
UACGUAGGGUGCGAGCGUUGUCCGGAAUUAUUGGGCGUAAAGAGCUUGUAGGCGGUUUGUCGCGUCUGCUGUGAAAAUCCGGGGCUCAACCCCGGACUUGCAGUGGGUACGGGCAGGCUAGAGUGUGGUAGGGGAGACUGGAAUUCCUGGUGUAGCGGUGAAAUGCGCAGAUAUCAGGAGGAACACCGAUGGCGAAGGCAGGUCUCUGGGCCACUACUGACGCUGAGAAGCGAAAGCAUGGGGAGCGAACAGG